This 749-nucleotide ribosomal RNA is filed under the name uncultured Armatimonadota bacterium. RNAcentral's name for it is "bacterial SSU rRNA". It matches the Rfam family "Bacterial small subunit ribosomal RNA", at positions 109 to 873 of the family's 1533-position model. The record is from RNAcentral. Lineage: Bacteria; Bacillati; Armatimonadota.
AGUAAUACGUGAGCAAGUUGCCCAAAAGCCCGGGAUAGCCGGCCGAAAGGCCGAGUAAUACCGGAUGUGACCACUCUUUGGCAUCAGGGAGUGAUUAAAUGGUUUUUCGCUUUUGGAGACGCUCACGGCCUAUCAGGUAGUUGGUGAGGUAAAGGCUCACCAAGCCGACGACGGGUAGCGGGUCUGAGAGGAUGAUCCGCUCGAGUGGGACUGAGACACGGCCCACACACCUACGGGUGGCAGCAGUUGGGAAUCUUGCACAAUGGGGGAAACCCUGAUGCAGCGACGCCGCGUGGAGGACGAAGGGUCUAGGCCUGUAAACUCCUUUUUUCGGGAAAGACUUAGGACGGUACCCGAAGAAUAAGCACCGGCUAACUACGUGCCAGCAGCCGCGGUAAGACGUAGGGUGCAAGCGUUGUCCGGAUUUACUGGGCGUAAAGGGCGCGUAGGCGGCUCGUUAAGUGAGAGGUGAAAGCCCCAGGCUCAACCUGGGAAUUGCUUCUCAUACUGGCGAGCUAGAGGGUUGCAGAGGCUCAUGGAAUUCCUGGUGUAGCGGUGAAAUGCGUUGAUAUCAGGAGGAACACCCAUGGCGAAGGCAGUGAGCUGGGCAACUCCUGACGCUGAGGUGCGAAAGCGUGGGUAGCAAACAGGAUUAGAUACCCUGGUAGUCCACGCCCUAAACGAUGGAUGCUAGGCGUAAGGGGUAUCGACCCCCCUUGUGCCGCAGCUAACGCACUAAGCAUCCCGCC